UACGAAGGGGGCUAGCGUUGCUCGGAAUUACUGGGCGUAAAGGGCGCGUAGGCGGCUCUGUUAGUCAGGCGUGAAAGCCCUGGGCUCAACCUGGGGACUGCGCUUGAUACGGCGGGGCUUGAGGGCAGGAGAGGCUCGCGGAAUUCCCAGUGUAGAGGUGAAAUUCGUAGAUAUUGGGAAGAACACCGGUGGCGAAGGCGGCGAGCUGGCCUGUUACUGACGCUGAGGCGCGACAGCGUGGGGAGCAAACGGG
Molecule: ribosomal RNA, 253 nt
Filed under: uncultured bacterium
Lineage: Bacteria
Description: partial 16S ribosomal RNA
Rfam family: Bacterial small subunit ribosomal RNA
Source: RNAcentral